CACCGCCCGUCACACCCUGGGAAUAGGUUUCGCCCGAAGCAUCGGACCAAUGAUCACCCAUGACUUCUGUGUACCACUAGUGCCACAAAGGCUUUUGGUGGUCUUAUUGGCGCAUACCACGGUGGAGUCUUCGACUGGGGUGAAGUCGUAACAAGGUAGCCGUAGGGGAACCUGUGGCUG
Molecule: small RNA, 180 nt
Filed under: Helianthus annuus (common sunflower)
Lineage: Eukaryota; Viridiplantae; Streptophyta; Magnoliopsida; Asterales; Asteraceae
Description: Bacterial small subunit ribosomal RNA
Rfam family: Bacterial small subunit ribosomal RNA
Source: RNAcentral